GACGAACGCUGGCGGCGUGCUUAACACAUGCAAGUCGAACGGAAAGGCCCUGCUUUUGUGGGGUGCUCGAGUGGCGAACGGGUGAGUAACACGUGAGUAACCUGCCCUUGACUUUGGGAUAACUUCAGGAAACUGGGGCUAAUACCGGAUAGGAGCUCCUGCUGCAUGGUGGGGGUUGGAAAGUUUCGGCGGUGUGGGGUGGACUCGCGGCUUAUCAGGUUGUUGGGGGGGUAGCGGCUUACCAAGGCUUUGACGGGUUGUCCGCCGGAGAGGGUGACCGGCCACAUUGGGACUGAGAUACGGCCCAGACUCCUACGGGAGGCAGCAGUGGGGAAUAUUGCACAAUGGGCGGAAGCCUGAUGCAGCAACGCCGCGUGCGGGAUGACGGCCUUCGGGUUGUAAACCGCUUUCGCCUGUGACGAAGCGUGAGUGACGGUAAUGGGUAAAGAAGCACCGGCUAACUACGUG
This 468-nucleotide ribosomal RNA is filed under the name uncultured bacterium. RNAcentral's name for it is "partial 16S ribosomal RNA". It matches the Rfam family "Bacterial small subunit ribosomal RNA", at positions 28 to 507 of the family's 1533-position model. The record is from RNAcentral.